RNAcentral lists this unclassified non-coding RNA (246 nucleotides) under Hevea brasiliensis (rubber tree). Lineage: Eukaryota; Viridiplantae; Streptophyta; Magnoliopsida; Malpighiales; Euphorbiaceae. The record is from RNAcentral.
AGUUGGUGGAUCGCGGUCCCAAGGUUUGUUCUUAUAUUGUUCAAGAACUUGUUCCAUAAUGCACAUGCAAUAGUUUUUAUCUUAUGGAAGUUACAGAUGCUACUAGUUAAAACCUUCAUUUAAUUCAGUAAUUGAAGAAUGCUAUCUAUCUAAACUGCAAGGCAGUUUUGACCAAACUAGAUAGUAUCUGAUUAUAUCUAAUUGUUUCACAAGUUGUAAACGGGGAUAUCUAGCAAUGUGUUCUUU